Molecule: ribosomal RNA, 493 nt
Filed under: Escherichia coli
Lineage: Bacteria; Pseudomonadati; Pseudomonadota; Gammaproteobacteria; Enterobacterales; Enterobacteriaceae
Description: partial 23S ribosomal RNA
Rfam family: Bacterial large subunit ribosomal RNA
Source: RNAcentral
GGGUUGUGAGGUUAAGCGACUAAGCGUACACGGUGGAUGCCCUGGCAGUCAGAGGCGAUGAAGGACGUGCUAAUCUGCGAUAAGCGUCGGUAAGGUGAUAUGAACCGUUAUAACCGGCGAUUUCCGAAUGGGGAAACCCAGUGUGUUUCGACACACUAUCAUUAACUGAAUCCAUAGGUUAAUGAGGCGAACCGGGGGAACUGAAACAUCUAAGUACCCCGAGGAAAAGAAAUCAACCGAGAUUCCCCCAGUAGCGGCGAGCGAACGGGGAGCAGCCCAGAGCCUGAAUCAGUAUGUGUGUUAGUGGAAGCGUCUGGAAAGGCGCGCGAUACAGGGUGACAGCCCCGUACACAAAAAUGCACAUAUUGUGAGCUCGAUGAGUAGGGCGGGACACGUGGUAUCCUGUCUGAAUAUGGGGGGACCAUCCUCCAAGGCUAAAUACUCCUGACUGACCGAUAGUGAACCAGUACCGUGAGGGAAAGGCGAAAAGAAC